RNAcentral lists this unclassified non-coding RNA (319 nucleotides) under fungal sp. RNAcentral's name for it is "partial internal transcribed spacer region". The stretch from base 1 to 46 matches the Rfam family "Eukaryotic small subunit ribosomal RNA", at positions 1786 to 1831 of the family's 1831-position model. Lineage: Eukaryota; Fungi. The record is from RNAcentral.
AAGUCGUAACAAGGUUUCCGUAGGUGAACCUGCGGAAGGAUCAUUAACAUUGGUUUGAUUUGUGGUGGUGUGUUUGCUCUUCUUCUUUUUAGGAGAGAGUAACUCAUCAUCUCAACCCCAUUGUGUGCAUGUUUUGUGUGCGAGUAGUAAAGGGAGGUCUUGUACCUCACUUUCUCUCACUCACUCACUUCUUUCACUUUCACACCCAAACCCCUUCUUCUCAUCACACUAGACUGACUUUACACCUCGUUUUACUCAGGCUCAACUGAGCAAAACAUCAAUCAGCAUACAACUCUUAGCGACGGAUAUCUAGGCUCUC